Rhea pennata is the source of this 1001-nucleotide long non-coding RNA. RefSeq lists it as uncharacterized. The record is from RefSeq and is a predicted model, not a curated record. Lineage: Eukaryota; Metazoa; Chordata; Aves; Rheiformes; Rheidae. The transcript is spliced from 3 exons.
GCCGCGCGGACCGCACACACGUCACACGGCACGCGAGCACCCGGUACAACCGUUACACUUUAAUGAAGGUCCCGUACAGCGCGCGCCGCCCCCCCGCCCCGCCCCCCCUCGCCCGCCUCAGAGGUCGGCGCGGGCGCCGGCGGCCCGCGGCGCGUACUUGGGCAUCAGUUCGUGGAUCCUGCGGAUGAAGUCGGACUUCUCGGCGCAGCCCUUGCACGUCUCGCCCCAGUCGUCGAGGAUCCGCCGCAGCUCCUUGACGCGCAGCUUGCGCAGGUCCGCGGUGCUCAGGUCGAUCUGCUUGUCUGCGGGGAGAGCGGGGCCGCCGUCAGCGGGGCCGCUGCCCCCCGUGAGCAGCCGCGGCCGGGCGAAGCAGCGCCUGGCUCCCGCAGCGGGGAAAGGACGGACUCUGGCACCAGCUUCAGGUUAGAGGCAGGAGGUCUACAAGAAACCCGAAAUCCCAACUACUCAUACUACGGAAAAUAGUUUAAUUUCCUCUUCCACUGGGAAAGAUUGGGGAGCGGAGAGAUUUCAGAGGAAAGAUAAGCAAGUGACAGCAACAGAAAGCUGAUCAGAAGGCAACAGGACAUCUAAUACAUCUUUUACAGAAAGGAAUACAUCAUCCAGGAACAAAAGAGUUCAAGAAAGCUGGCAAGAAACAUGCUGCUGAAUGUUCUGGACAGACAUCAGGAGAUGAGAAAGUGCUUAUCAAGCAGCUACCUGGUAACUGUGAGAGCGGCUGUGCUGGGCAGCUUCACUAAGGGCCUGGGCCCUGGUUCAACAGCUGCCAUCCCAAGCCAUAGCAACAUGCCUGGCUGCUCCCCAGGACAAGCUUCUAAGUAAGUUAUUCCAGACAGAGGUUUGAGUGCAGUGGUGUUGAUGCAUGGGAGUUACUUACUUCAAGACAGAUCUGUGGUUCUUUGUAAGCUAAAAGACAUAGUAUCAAACAGUCUUAACCUGAGCAUCUCAUUAAAACUCUCUAGGAUGUUCACAUAAGAGAACAA